AUUGAACGCUGGCGGCAGGCCUAACACAUGCAAGUCGAGCGGAUGAAGGGAGCUUGCUCCUGGAUUCAGCGGCGGACGGGUGAGUAAUGCCUAGGAAUCUGCCUGGUAGUGGGGGAUAACGUCCGGAAACGGGCGCUAAUACCGCAUACGUCCUGAGGGAGAAAGUGGGGGAUCUUCGGACCUCACGCUAUCAGAUGAGCCCAGGUCGGAUUAGCUAGUUGGUGGGGUAAAGGCCUACCAAGGCGACGAUCCGUAACUGGUCUGAGAGGAUGAUCAGUCACACUGGAACUUGGACACGGUCCAGACUCCUACGGGAGGCCGCAGUCGGGAAUAUUGGACAAUGGGCGAAAACCUGAUCCAGCCAUGGCGCGUGUGUGAAGAAGGUCUUCGGAUUGUAAAGCCCUUUAAGUUGGGAGGAAGGGCAGUAAGUUAAUACCUUGCUGUUUUGACGUUACCAACAGAAUAAGCACCGGCUAACUUCGUG
Molecule: ribosomal RNA, 484 nt
Filed under: uncultured bacterium
Lineage: Bacteria
Description: partial 16S ribosomal RNA
Rfam family: Bacterial small subunit ribosomal RNA
Source: RNAcentral